Molecule: long non-coding RNA, 1041 nt
Filed under: Bos indicus x Bos taurus (hybrid cattle)
Lineage: Eukaryota; Metazoa; Chordata; Mammalia; Artiodactyla; Bovidae
Description: lncRNA (ENSBIXG00005019297.1)
Source: RNAcentral
AUGCUGGAGACACGCUCGGCUCCAGACCACAGAGCAGACGGCAGGGCCAGGCAGGUGGAAAAUUCCCCCUGGCGUGCAGCCCAGGCUCUGUGCCUGCCAGGUGGGCCCCAGCCAGGUCUGGGGGACUGCAGGCAGUCUGGCAGCCACAGGGAGCUGGCCGGGGCCUCCCAGCUCAGCUGCCCCCACCCAGACUCCAGAGUCCUGUCUGCUCAGGCCGGCAGACGGGACAGGAAGCUGUGGGAAGCUUGUGGAGGUUUGUUGGGACCUUGGAGCUUCUCGGCAGUUGCAGCCCUGGGUGGAGGUGGCCGUGCGAGCUCCUUGCCGUCCCCCGGCCAAGUGAGUGGUCCCGGGACCCUUGUGGAGGGCUGGGGGCUGCAGCUGUCUGCAUGGUCAGGCGGGCAGAGCUCUGGCAGGUGUCGUGGCGUGGAUGUCCCUGUGUCUGCUCCUGCUCGCUGCCAGCCUCCACCUGGUGACCUUGGGCGGGCACUCUCCGGCUCAGGCCUCUCUGUGUUCCUCUGGGACUGUUGGGCUCUCCUCCUGGAAGGACAUGAAGCCACACCCACCAGACCUGGGAAGUACAGACUCUGCAGGCCCGUGGGAUUUGGGGCUGGGGGGCAGGACACGUCCCAGGUCCCUUGUGCUGGAAGCCAGGGUGGGGGCCCUUGUACCACGGCCUACUCCUGGCCGCCGUUCCUCCUGGCCUGUCUCCCUGAAGGCCCUUCCCAAAGCCUGGAGCUGCUUUCUGGAAUGUUUACCCACAAACAUUUUUAUGUCGCUGGUCGGUUCAGUGGGGCUUUGGAAGCCGAGGAAACCCCUUUGGCUUUUCCAGGUUUCGUGGCCAGCCAGUCCCUCACAUCGCUCCCACUUGGAGGACCCGGGAGGCCCGCCGUCCCAGGCGCAGUGGGCUCACGCCCCACUGGAAGGCUACCCAGAGGGCAUGACCCACUGACCGUGCGUCACCGCCGACACGGGUGGGGAGCACGGUCCGUCUGGGCAGAGGAGGUGCUGGAGAUAAGACAGGGCAUGACCCCGACUCCAUGA